UGAGGGGGGCUGCUCCUAGUACGAGAGGACCGGAGUGGACGCAUCACUGGUGUUCGGGUUGUCAUGCCAAUGGCACUGCCCGGUAGCUAAAUGCGGAAAAGAUAAGUGCUGAAAGCAUCUAAGCACGAAACUUGCCCCGAGAUGAGUCUUCCCUGAGACCUUGAGUCUCCUGAAGGAACGUUAAAGACGAUGACGUUGAUAGGCCGGGUGUGUAAGCGCAGCGAUGCGUUGAGCUAACCGGUACUAAUGAACCGUGAGGCUUAACCUUACAACGCCGAAG
Molecule: ribosomal RNA, 280 nt
Filed under: Salmonella enterica
Lineage: Bacteria; Pseudomonadati; Pseudomonadota; Gammaproteobacteria; Enterobacterales; Enterobacteriaceae
Also listed under: 1 other name
Description: partial 23S ribosomal RNA
Rfam family: Bacterial large subunit ribosomal RNA
Source: RNAcentral